RNAcentral lists this ribosomal RNA (253 nucleotides) under uncultured bacterium. RNAcentral's name for it is "partial 16S ribosomal RNA". It matches the Rfam family "Bacterial small subunit ribosomal RNA", at positions 524 to 776 of the family's 1533-position model. The record is from RNAcentral.
UACAGAGGGGGCAAGCGUUGUUCGGAAUUACUGGGCGUAAAGGGCGCGUAGGCGGCCUUCUAAGUCGAACGUGAAAUCCCUGGGCUUAACCCAGGAACUGCGUCCGAUACUGGGAGGCUUGAAUUCGGGAGAGGGAUGCGGAAUUCCAGGUGUAGCGGUGAAAUGCGUAGAUAUCUGGAGGAACACCGGUGGCGAAGGCGGCAUCCUGGACCGAGAUUGACGCUGAGGCGCGAAAGCCAGGGGAGCGAUCCGG